Molecule: ribosomal RNA, 467 nt
Filed under: uncultured bacterium
Lineage: Bacteria
Description: partial 16S ribosomal RNA
Rfam family: Bacterial small subunit ribosomal RNA
Source: RNAcentral
GACGAACGCUGGCGGCGUGCUUAACACAUGCAAGUCGAACGGAAAGGCCUCUUUCGGGGGGUACUCGAGUGGCGAACGGGUGAGUAACACGUGAGUAACCUGCCCUUGACUUUGGGAUAACUUCAGUAAACUGGGGCUAAUACCGGAUAGGAGCUCCUGCUGCAUGGUGGGGGUUGGAAAGUUUCGGCGGUUGGGGAUGGACUCGCGGCUUAUCAGCUUGUUGGUGGGGUAGUGGCUUACCAAGGCUUUGACGGGUAGCCGGCCUGAGAGGGUGACCGGCCACAUUGGGACUGAGAUACGGCCCAGACUCCGAAGGGAGGCAGCAGUGGGGAAUAUUGCACAAUGGGUGGAAGCCUGAUGCAGCAACGCCGUGUGCGGGAUGACGGCCUUCGGGUUGUAAACCGCUUUCGCUCAUGACGAAGCUUUGUGUGACGGUAGUGGGUAAAGAAGCACCGGCUAACUACGUG